RNAcentral lists this ribosomal RNA (253 nucleotides) under uncultured bacterium. RNAcentral's name for it is "partial 16S ribosomal RNA". It matches the Rfam family "Bacterial small subunit ribosomal RNA", at positions 524 to 776 of the family's 1533-position model. The record is from RNAcentral.
UACGUAGGGUCCGAGCGUUGUCCGGAAUUACUGGGCGUAAAGAGCUCGUAGGUGGUUUGUCGCGUUGUUCGUGAAAACUCACAGCUCAACUGGGGGCGUGCGGGCGAUACGGGCAGACUGGAGUACGGCAGGGGAGACUGGAAUUCCUGGUGUAGCGGUGGAAUGCGCAGAUAUCAGGAGGAACACCGGUGGCGAAGGCGGGUCUCUGGGCAGGAACUGACGCUGAGGAGCGAAAGCGUGGGGAGCGAACAGG